This is a microRNA precursor of Papio anubis (olive baboon), 49 nucleotides long. The record is from Ensembl. Lineage: Eukaryota; Metazoa; Chordata; Mammalia; Primates; Cercopithecidae.
GGAGCCCUUCAGCAGGGUCAGGGCCCCUCAUCUUCCCCUCCUUUCCCAG